RNAcentral lists this ribosomal RNA (440 nucleotides) under Camaena choboensis. RNAcentral's name for it is "partial large subunit ribosomal RNA". It matches the Rfam family "Archaeal large subunit ribosomal RNA", at positions 1900 to 2677 of the family's 2987-position model. Lineage: Eukaryota; Metazoa; Mollusca; Gastropoda; Stylommatophora; Camaenidae. The record is from RNAcentral.
CAAAAACAUAACUACAUGUAAUCACAUGUAGCGUUUUCUGCUCAAUGAUAUUUUAAAUAGCUGCAGUACUCUGACUGUGCAAAGGUAGCAUAAUAAAUUGGCUUAUAAUUGAAGUCUAGUAUGAAUGAAUACAUGGGGAGUAACUAUAUUAAAGAUACUUUAUAGAAAUUAAUUAUUACGUGAAAAUACGUAUAUAUAAAUAAUAGACGAGAAGACCCUAAAAAUUUUAACUAAACAAUACUAUUACGUUUUUGUUGGGGCGACAUGGUAACAAUAAACUUACAUAAAUAUUACACGAAGUAUAAACGGACUGAGUAAAUUACUUUAGGGAUAACAGCAUAAUUUAAAAAAGUUUGUGACCUCGAUGUUGGAUUAGGUAAAUGAAAUUUAGAAGAUAUACAUUAUUGCUCUGUUCGAGCUAUUACACCUACGUGAUCUGA